This 77-nucleotide small nucleolar RNA is filed under the name Mola mola (ocean sunfish). Its description in RNAcentral is "Small nucleolar RNA SNORD66 (ENSMMOG00000018914.1)". It matches the Rfam family "Small nucleolar RNA SNORD66". Rfam says of the family: snoRNA HBII-142 is part of the C/D family of snoRNAs. It is the human orthologue of the mouse MBII-142 snoRNA and is predicted to guide 2'O-ribose methylation of small 18S rRNA at residue C1272. The record is from Rfam by way of RNAcentral. Lineage: Eukaryota; Metazoa; Chordata; Actinopteri; Tetraodontiformes; Molidae.
CUCCAAUGAUGACUUAUAUUUUGUGCCACGUGUCUGGGCCACUGAAUUUUCAUGAUGGUAAUGAGGAACUGAUGGAG